GCUAAGACUCAUGAUGGAUGGAUCUCUACAACUUACAUGUCUUGUGAUUCAUAGUUUUAGACAUAUAUUAUCAAGACUAUCUUAAUAAUGGUUUCGGAAACCCAUAUUAUGUCCAAACAUUGAACCACCAUUUAGUUGUAGCUAGCAAUCUUCGAAUUAAUUGAAAACAAGACUACGUCAAAGAUGGUUUGUUCAAAGUCAACCAAUCUCUUUGAUUGUAGUCACCUUAAGCUAUCAAUUAGCUAUAAAGGUUUCAUUAUUUCGGGUCAAAUGGUACUUUACCAUUUCCUUGAGUAUAUGUCGUAUAUACACUCAAUGUAGUCAUAAGGAUUUUCAUUCUUAUUUCUUUCGAAUUAAGAGGUGCAACUCUAUGACAUGGUCAUAAAGUUCAAACAUUUCACCUCUAUACAAUUUUAACAAAAAGGUAUUGGAUCCAGAUCUAACGAUCCAAAGCAUCCAUCUAUGACCAACUCGUAUUUUAUGAUUUAGAGGUAUCACAAUUUAGUUGAGAUUAGUCACUACCUUGCAACCUUUUGGGUUUUAAGCAUCAUUAUAUUCUAAACAGUUAACACUACCAUAUCAUCUCUACUAUAGAGACAAUCAAUUAGAUUACUAUAAUCCAAUCAUUGAUUAAUAAAGAACAAUGUUUUGUCAAACAAAACAUUCAUCCAUCUCUACUAUAGUGACGGAAUUAAGUUCCUUAUAAUUGGAAUGUAAAGACAAUCUUUAGUUUUUCCAAUUUCUUUGGUAGUUCAUAUGAGGAAGUAAGUACUAUCUGCUUUCGCAGAGAUCUUUAUUUUAUUCACGUUCUGAAUGUGAAGCACCUUUUUCUUCUCUCAUAUAUCUUCUACUUCUUAUUAGUCACACUUUUACAACGAUUGUAAAACAAGUUACUAAUACGGAAUCAAGCAUUCAAGUAGAAGAACCAACUGUUUUGAACUAUUCAAGAACAAUUUUCAACACCUUCGAAAGGUGUGUUCUUGACACUUGCAAGACAUUUCUUGCAAAUACCCCUUCUAAUGUCCAUCCUUUCAUAAAGAAAGUUUGUUCCCUUGGAGUUUAUUUCGCUUUCUUCAUUUGACUUCUCCUUU
Molecule: long non-coding RNA, 1091 nt
Filed under: Malus domestica (apple)
Lineage: Eukaryota; Viridiplantae; Streptophyta; Magnoliopsida; Rosales; Rosaceae
Description: long non-coding RNA (MDOM_LNC000106)
Source: RNAcentral